AAGUAUAAUCCUGGACCAUGACUUAAUGUUAGCUCUGCUUUGUCUUUUGGAUGGCCUAACCUACAUUAACAUGAAGGCUGAACAUUUUUAAACUUUUUUUUUUCAAAAAUCAUUAUAUUUACCUUAUUAAUAAAUAAAAAUAAAGUCUUGUAUUUGAACAGAUUUUUGUUGUUAUAAAGUGGUAUAUAUCAAAUGAGAGAAUAACUGUUAUUUUGAUCCUUUUGGAAAUUUGGUAAAAUAGUGUUUAGUUAGAGAAGUAGCUAAUAAUUUGCGCUAACCACAUCUGAGACAGGUGCUAUUUGAGUGCAAACGUAUUGUAGUUUAUGUAGGCCAGAGAUUGCUUAUUCAGAACGUUUUAAGUUUGCUUUUUCUGAACAUGUUAACUUUCAAUUCAAAAGUCACUUUAGGAUUGUAAGUACCUUGGAAACCCUGUAAAAGUUGAACUGUGGUUGUCAGAAUGCUGAAUAAUGGGUUUUAUCUUGUGUAGAAUUCUUUCUGACAUUUGUAUUCUCAUUCCUUUCCAAAUCAGCGGUUUUGUUAUUUGAGGCUGCUGGAUAAAACAGGAAGGUUCUGAGAGCCGUGAUUCCAAUUUUUAGACUAGCAAAAUUUCAAAACGUUUGCAAGAACCAGUAGAGAUGCAGCAGCCUUUUCUGUUUUAAUUGGCGGGACGGCAGGGGGGGUGGUAAUUUAGAGCACCGUGUUUGAGGUAGGAAGGAGGACAGACUACUAACUGGUCAAGAGGCCAUUGUGACACCAAGAGCAGUAGUGACAUCACAUCGGCCUUACUUUUCUCACUUCUCGUAAGUUAGCUUUUCGGAACCAUUCUGGAAAAGACGUUGGCCUCUUUUACCUGUUUUAUACUCAGGUACUCCAGAAUCUGGAGGGAUGAAAACUAACAUUUAGUCUUUUGCGUGUAACAGGUUUUUAUGAAUGUUUUAACAGCUCUGUGAAGUUAGCCUCAUUUUCUUGAACCCCUGCAUAUCUGUGCCUUCCAUUUGAUAAAGAGGAUUUAAGGUUCCUUAACCCCCCUCCUGCUGUUCUUCCGGCAAGAAUGUCACCACCUGUCAGCCCAUUCUCCAUACAAGAGACCACGAUGAAGGCAUUUGAAGAAGAGGCCACGUGUA
RNAcentral lists this long non-coding RNA (1124 nucleotides) under Lynx canadensis (Canada lynx). Its description in RNAcentral is "lncRNA (ENSLCNG00005000028.1)". The record is from RNAcentral. Lineage: Eukaryota; Metazoa; Chordata; Mammalia; Carnivora; Felidae.